GCCUGGGUGGCUCAGUCGGUUGAGCAUCUGACUUCGGCUCAGGUCAUGAUCUCACAGUCUGUGAGUUCGAGCCCCGCGUCGGGCU
Molecule: transfer RNA, 85 nt
Filed under: Felis catus (domestic cat)
Lineage: Eukaryota; Metazoa; Chordata; Mammalia; Carnivora; Felidae
Also listed under: 2 other names
Rfam family: tRNA
About the family: Transfer RNA (tRNA) molecules are approximately 80 nucleotides in length. Their secondary structure includes four short double-helical elements and three loops (D, anti-codon, and T loops).
Source: Rfam by way of RNAcentral